This is an RNA transcript of Hippocampus zosterae (dwarf seahorse), 3717 nucleotides long. It is a transcript of the gene named suppressor of cytokine signaling 3b, with no coding region annotated. NCBI's taxonomy places the organism in Eukaryota, Metazoa, Chordata, Actinopteri, Syngnathiformes, Syngnathidae. The transcript has 5 exons. The record is from RefSeq and is a predicted model, not a curated record.
AUUUCAAUCAUUUUUAUGAUGUGUAGGACUAACGUGAAAUGUUGUAAACGCUAUCAUAUCCUUUCCAGAUGCUGUGUAAAUAGCCGCCAUUGUUUCUUAAGACAACGGCACUCAUUACAGAAUCAUGAACAGGGCAUAUCAUCUUACAGCAUCACCGUCACAUCACAAUGCUAUUCCCAGCGUUUUGGUUUCCGCAGUCUGGCAGACAUGAUGUCAUUCGCUACUCAGAAGUGCCAUCUUGGUAGUCUGGACUCCGUUUAUGGCUGUGCAAUGUCCUGUUCCAGCUGACCGGUUCCCAGAUAUAGGGAGGCCAACACCACUCGUCUCUUUGCGGUCCUGACACGUGCCUGAUGGGAAAGAAAUGCUGAAAAACUGGUCAGGCGAGGUGAGCACAUGGACACGUGUGCCGUUGACCCGGAAAGCUGGCACGCGCUCUGCCAUCCAUCGGAAUUGGGCGUAAAGGCUGCGCGGCGCGCCUGGCGCCAGGGCGCCGCUCUCUGGAGCAGGCUCGGGUUUGACCAGCAGGGGCGCCAAAAGAAGAACGGAGGAGCUGCGCUCACAGAAAUGGAAAAAUGGAUUGACUGCAGAAGAAGAAUGCAAGGAUCUGAACGAGGCUAAUGCGCACGCUAAGUAUGGAAUGUCAACUCUUGAGGCAUUGAUUAAUCCAUUAUUCGUGUGGCGAGUGUCUAAAGCAGUUUAAGGUCUGCCACAAAGAGAGUGAAGCUGUUCCAGGUGUGGAUUUGUCCGAAGAUGACGCAUCUUUUGCUGCAUUGGUUUUCCCACAGAUGCAUCCUUUCGGCGUCCAAACCAUGCAAAUUAACAAAAUCUGGCAUUUCCCAUCACUGAUAUGACCAUCCUCCAGGCCAUGGUUAUGGUUGCUAUUUUACAGAAGAGAUAGGCUUCAUGUAAACACCGUAAAAGUGAAUGGUCCAUCAUCAUUCAUUAACCCUUAAGGGUCCUCAAAAUAAAUUAUAAAAUGUUAUAAAUGUUUGUAUCAGCUCCAAUUGGCUAGUAACUAAUUCAGGGUUUACCCCACCUACCGCCCAAAGACAGUUGCAUAGGCUCCAGCAAGUCCACGACCCUUGUACCACAUUUUCAAAAGGGUCUCCCUGAGUAUGUGGACCCGCACGCCAUUCAAACAAAAAAGACGGGUUAAUGGAACAUUCUAAAUUGUCCUGAGGCGUGAUUGUGAGUGAGAAUUGUUGUUCGUCUAUGUGUGCCCUGCGAUUGGCUGGCAACCAGUUCAGGGUGCGCCCCAAGAAAUGUUUAUUUUAUGCAGGAGGGAAUGAGCUAUUAUAAUAUAGUAAUUAGAAAUAAUUUGCCCCACUAUGGCUGCUAUUUGAUUACCACUGAAACCUCACAAAGAACCCAGCAAAUCCAACUGGGUGGGACAAUCGGUGAAACCAGCCAAUGCCGUCUCAGAGCAUAACAACCAAUCAUGAAGCAGCGCAACACAAGGAGAGCCGAUGAUUAUCGAAGAUAGCCGAAAACUAACGAGCGCCAUUCAAGUGUUUUUAAAUAGCUCACGAGUUCUGCCGAAUAACACAACUUGCUGAAACGACGAUUGGCGUUCAUUUUAUGGCAAACACCUGAAGUGACCUUUAUUUGUAUUUUUUUUUAAUAAUUCGCGGGAAUACUUUCUCGGAUUUUGAAGGAUCGUAAAGAAAGAAGGACGUUUAAAGCGUCACAGACCGUGUUACUACAUUAGCAUAAGAAGGUUGCUACCGUUUCUGUCAACGGGAUGCCUAGUCUACGACACGAAACGUCGGAUUUCACUGUAAUUUCGGCGUUUUGUUGCAACUUCGUCUCUUACCCGCCUCGUCGGUCCCGCGCGCGGAAGAGCCGGUCGGAUAUUCGCAUGAAAGCCCCAGCCAGGGCCGGCGAGUACACGGAGGACACUAGCCUCCUCCACGACAUGGGGGCCGCCAUUGCUGCCGCAGCUCCCAUUUGAAGAAGGGGGGAAAAAAAUAAAAAUCCGAAACUUUAUUGCCACAAAGUGGUGGGGACGUGACAAGACAACCCGGCGAAGCCUUCAAGUAAGUAAAACUGGCAUCACUCGACGCACGUAAUAACUUGAGUAAAUAUCACGCGGGAGAGGUAAACCUCACCUAAAAUACACUGAUACUGCAUUUGGGUAUUCAUUGAAUAACACUGUAUAUAAAAAAAGCAUGUUAGUAACCCCCCGCCCCCUGAUUUCCAGCUGAUAACGGAACAACAACCAUUCAUGCUCACAAUCACCCCAUGGGACAAUUUCGAGCCUUCCUUUAACCUACCGUGCUUGAUUUUGGAAUCUGGGAAGAAACCGGAGUAACCGGAUAAAACCCACGCAGGUACGGGGACAACAUGAAAAAUCCACACAGGAUCGAACCCAGCACGUCUGCACUGUGAGGUGGACGUGCUAACCAGUCAAUCACUAUCCAUUACAAGCUAUAUAUACUGUAUAUGUAUAUAUAUAUGUGUGUAGUGUUUGCGUGGGUUUGCGUGUUUUCCAUUUGGACAUAUGCACAAACAAGUUAUUUGUGUGCAAAAAGAAAUUUGUUUUAUUGUUCAAAACUGAGAGGUUACAUAUCACAAAUAUAGUCACAGGCAUGAAAAUAAAUCUUUAAAACUGUCAACAGGUAGUCUAUUUCUGUAUUUGUACCUGUACUUCAUACUCGGUCAACAUCAAAAUCUUUAAAUCGAAUCCAGCCAAAUCCAAAUUGAAUCGCAACUUCAAAAAUGGGAAUUGAAUCUUAACAAUACACUCAACACUGGUUCACAAACACAUCCUUUAGUUAAUUCAAUAAUUUGUGAAUUAAUUAUAAAUAACAAAUCAUAGUAUCAUUUAAUUCUUCAAAUAAACUUUUUUGUAAAUCAUCAAUAAAUUACCAUUUAAUUUACAAAAUCUAAAGAGAACAAAAGCACACCCACCCCUGAUAAAAGUGUAAUUAGCUCAAAGUUAAUUAGAGGACUUUGAGCCGUAUAACAUGUGCAUGACUAGCAAAUUUUGUAGAACAAGUACACCUUAGCCCCCCCCAAAAAAAACAUGUAUAUUGAGAGAACGUGAUGAAUUAUCACGAUGAAUAUUUCAUGCCGUGUAAAAUGCAUGUGGAACGGCUCGACCGGUACCAGGAAACGGACCCUGCUGCAAAGGUCACCAAGAUUAUUUACUGGCAAUACGCCAGAGCGAGAGCCGCGCGAGCACGCACGCGUGUGCCCGUGCGUCAAGACCGUGCGCGCGCACGAACCCAUGCGUUUACUGGAAGAACCUCAGGACAGAAGGGGGCGGGGCCUUACGAUCGGCUUUACUCACUGGAAACAACCUCCGGUAACCUUCCGCCACACACAUACACGGAGACACACACAUACGGUCCGUCUACCUCCUCUCCCGCAGACGGCAGCGCCGCCGCCGACGAAGACGACCGUCCUCGGCAUACUUUUUGGGCAGAAUAUUCCGUCGGGGGGAUUUUAAUGCCUGAGCUAAUCCACCUCCAUCUAGCACUACUCUCGGGUAGUUUGCCGAGUGUAUCUUUUGGCGACGUGCUGCGGCGCGGGGCUGUAUUAAUCCGCAAGGUGUAUCUUGGUGGUCUCUCCCAGCCCCUCUCUGGAUGCAUCCAGCUCCUCUGCCCCCGGGCCCUGGACCCGGUGUGUGACCCCGCCGUCCUCCCCUCAGUCCCCUUCAGAGACCGUCGCCUUCCCGCCGCCCGUUCUCUGCCCGGAGGAGGUGGACCGCAGCGA